UGGGGAAUUUUGGACAAUGGGCGCAAGCCUGAUCCAGCCAUGCCGCGUGCGGGAAGAAGGCCUUCGGGUUGUAAACCGCUUUUGGCAGGAACGAAACGGCGCGGGCUAACACCUCGCGCUAAUGACGGUACCUGCAGAAUAAGCACCGGCUAACUACGUGCCAGCAGCCGCGGUAAUACGUAGGGUGCAAGCGUUAAUCGGAAUUACUGGGCGUAAAGCGUACGUAGGCGGCUUUGCAAGACAGGUGUGAAAUCCCCGGGCCUAACCUGGGAACUGCAUUUGUGACUGCAUGGCUAGAGUCUGUCGGAGGGGGGUGGAAUUCCACGUGUAGCAGUGAAAUGCGUAGAGAUGUGGAAGAACACCGAUGGCGAAGGCAGCCCCCUGGGAUGAGACUGACGCUCAUGUACGAAAGCGUGGGGAGCAAACAGGAUUAGAUACCCUGGUAGUCCACGCCGUAAACGAUGGGCACUAGGUGCCGGGGUCUCUAGACGGAUUCGGU
Molecule: ribosomal RNA, 499 nt
Filed under: uncultured Pseudomonadota bacterium
Lineage: Bacteria; Pseudomonadati; Pseudomonadota
Description: bacterial SSU rRNA
Rfam family: Bacterial small subunit ribosomal RNA
Source: RNAcentral